RNAcentral lists this ribosomal RNA (630 nucleotides) under Melampsora sp. TUB RB3003. Its description in RNAcentral is "LSU rRNA". It matches the Rfam family "Eukaryotic large subunit ribosomal RNA", at positions 43 to 657 of the family's 3401-position model. The record is from RNAcentral. Lineage: Eukaryota; Fungi; Basidiomycota; Pucciniomycetes; Pucciniales; Melampsoraceae.
UCAAUAAGCGGAGGAAAAGAAAAUAACUAUGAUUCCCUUAGUAACGGCGAGUGAACAGGGAAAAGCCCAAAUUUGUAAUCUGGCAUCUUUUACAGGUGUCCGAGUUGUAAUUUGUAGAACUGUUAUCCGUGCUGGACCAUGUACAAGUCUGUUGAAAAGCAGCAUCAUUGAAGGUGAAAAUCCUGUAAAUGAUAUGGACUACCAGUGCAUUUGUGAUACGGUUUCCAAGAGUCGAGUUGUUUGGGAAUGCAGCUCAAAGUGGGUGGUAAAUUCCAUCUAAGGCUAAAUAUAAGUGAGAGACCGAUAGCAAACAAGUACCGUGAGGGAAAGAUGAAAAGAACUUUGAAAAUAGAGUUAACAGUACGUGAAAUUGCUGAAAGGGAAACGUUUGAAGUUAGUAUUGUAUUCGUUGGAUCAGCUUCGCAAGGAGUGUAUUCCGAUGAUAAGCAAGUCAACAUCAGUCUAUGAGUGUUGGAGAAGGGUUUUGAGAAUGUAGCAAUUUAAUUGUGUUAUAGCUCGAGACUUGGAUACGACGCUCUUGAUUGAGGAACGCGUAGUAAGCUUUGAGCAGGUUCGAAAGGAUCUCCUUACUAUGGAUGUUGGUGAAUAACUUUAAGCGACCCGUCUGAA